AAUYCGUCGACUUUAGAAAUCGUGAGGGUUCAAGUCCCUCUAUCCCCA
RNAcentral lists this transfer RNA (48 nucleotides) under Pericampylus glaucus. RNAcentral's name for it is "partial tRNA-Leu". The record is from RNAcentral. Lineage: Eukaryota; Viridiplantae; Streptophyta; Magnoliopsida; Ranunculales; Menispermaceae.